GACCGGCUGCGCCGGCUCGGGGCGCGGCGGAUCGUGGUCGCUCCGUACUUUCUGUUCGCCGGGGUGCUCCCGGAUCGGAUCCGGGCCCAGUCGC
Molecule: transfer RNA, 94 nt
Filed under: Salinispora arenicola
Lineage: Bacteria; Bacillati; Actinomycetota; Actinomycetes; Micromonosporales; Micromonosporaceae
Description: tRNA-Thr
Source: RNAcentral